CCGUGGGAGACUCGCAGCCCAGACUCGCGGCCCAGGUGGGAGCCUCCUGGCCCAGACUCGCGGCCCAGACUCACGGCCCAGACUCGCGGCCCAGGUGGGAGCCUCGCGGCCCAGACUCGCGGCCCAGACUCGCGGCCCAGGCAGGACCCGCCUCAUGGACGGGCCUUCCCACGGGGGUCAUGGCAGGAUGGCAGGCUC
Molecule: long non-coding RNA, 198 nt
Organism: Herpailurus yagouaroundi (jaguarundi)
Lineage: Eukaryota; Metazoa; Chordata; Mammalia; Carnivora; Felidae
Exons: 3
Source: RefSeq, a predicted model, not a curated record